GAUGAACGCUGGCGGCGUGCCUAAUACAUGCAAGUCGAGCGAACAGACGAGGAACUUGCUCCUCUUACGUUAGCGGCGGACGGGUGAGUAACACGUGGGUAACCUACCUAUAAGACUGGGAUAACUUCGGGAAACCGGAGCUAAUACCGGAUAAUAUAUUGAACCGCAUGGUUCAAUAGUGAAAGACGGUUUUGCUGUCACUUAUAGUUGGAUCCGCGCCGCAUUAGCUAGUUGGUAAGGUAACGGCUUACCAAGGCAACGAUGCGUAGCCGACCUGAGAGGGUGAUCGGCCACACUGGAACUGAGACACGGUCCAGACUCCUACGGGAGGCAGCAGUAGGGAAUCUUCCGCAAUGGGCGAAAGCCUGACGGAGCAACGCCGCGUGAGUGAUGAAGGUCUUCGGAUCGUAAAACUCUGUUAUUAGGGAAGAACAAAUGUGUAAGUAACUAUGCACGUCUUGACGGUACCUAAUCAGAAAGCCACGGCUAACUACGUG
This 497-nucleotide ribosomal RNA is filed under the name uncultured bacterium. Its description in RNAcentral is "partial 16S ribosomal RNA". It matches the Rfam family "Bacterial small subunit ribosomal RNA", at positions 28 to 507 of the family's 1533-position model. The record is from RNAcentral.